RNAcentral lists this ribosomal RNA (976 nucleotides) under Psychrobacter luti. Its description in RNAcentral is "bacterial SSU rRNA". It matches the Rfam family "Bacterial small subunit ribosomal RNA", at positions 69 to 1041 of the family's 1533-position model. Lineage: Bacteria; Pseudomonadati; Pseudomonadota; Gammaproteobacteria; Moraxellales; Moraxellaceae. The record is from RNAcentral.
ACAUUUCUAGCUUGCUAGAAGAUGACGAGCGGCGGACGGGUGAGUAAUACUUAGGAAUCUACCUAGUAGUGGGGGAUAGCACGGGGAAACUCGUAUUAAUACCGCAUACGACCUACGGGAGAAAGGGGGCAGUUUACUGCUCUCGCUAUUAGAUGAGCCUAAGUCGGAUUAGCUAGAUGGUGGGGUAAAGGCCUACCAUGGCGACGAUCUGUAGCUGGUCUGAGAGGAUGAUCAGCCACACCGGGACUGAGACACGGCCCGGACUCCUACGGGAGGCAGCAGUGGGGAAUAUUGGACAAUGGGGGAAACCCUGAUCCAGCCAUGCCGCGUGUGUGAAGAAGGCCUUUUGGUUGUAAAGCACUUUAAGCAGUGAAGAAGACUCUGUGGUUAAUACCCACAGACGAUGACAUUAGCUGCAGAAUAAGCACCGGCUAACUCUGUGCCAGCAGCCGCGGUAAUACAGAGGGUGCAAGCGUUAAUCGGAAUUACUGGGCGUAAAGGGAGCGUAGGUGGCUCGAUAAGUCAGAUGUGAAAUCCCCGGGCUCAACCUGGGAACUGCAUCUGAUACUGUCGUGCUAGAGUAUGUGAGAGGAAGGUAGAAUUCCAGGUGUAGCGGUGAAAUGCGUAGAGAUCUGGAGGAAUACCGAUGGCGAAGGCAGCCUUCUGGCAUAAUACUGACACUGAGGCUCGAAAGCGUGGGUAGCAAACAGGAUUAGAUACCCUGGUAGUCCACGCCGUAAACGAUGUCUACUAGUCGUUGGGUCCCUUGAGGACUUAGUGACGCAGCUAACGCAAUAAGUAGACCGCCUGGGGAGUACGGCCGCAAGGUUAAAACUCAAAUGAAUUGACGGGGGCCCGCACAAGCGGUGGAGCAUGUGGUUUAAUUCGAUGCAACGCGAAGAACCUUACCUGGUCUUGACAUAUCUAGAAUCCUGCAGAGAUGCGGGAGUGCCUUCGGGAAUUAGAAUACAGGUGC